CGGAUCGUAAAACUCUGUUGCUAGGGAAGAACAAGUACCGUUCGAAUAGGGCGGUACCUUGACGGUACCUAACCAGAAAGCCACGGCUAACUACGUGCCAGCAGCCGCGGUAAUACGUAGGUGGCAAGCGUUGUCCGGAAUUAUUGGGCGUAAAGCGCGCGCAGGCGGUUUCUUAAGUCUGAUGUGAAAGCCCCCGGCUCAACCGGGGAGGGUCAUUGGAAACUGGGGAACUUGAGUGCAGAAGAGGAGAGUGGAAUUCCACGUGUAGCGGUGAAAUGCGUAGAGAUGUGGAGGAACNCCAGUGGCGAAGGCGACUCUCUGGUCUGUAACUGACGCUGAGGCGCGAAAGCGUGGGGAGCGAACAGGAUUAGAUACCCUGGUAGUCCACGCCGUAAACGAUGAGUGCUAAGUGUUAGAGGG
Molecule: ribosomal RNA, 420 nt
Filed under: Bacillus licheniformis
Lineage: Bacteria; Bacillati; Bacillota; Bacilli; Caryophanales; Bacillaceae
Description: bacterial SSU rRNA
Rfam family: Bacterial small subunit ribosomal RNA
Source: RNAcentral